This 41-nucleotide small RNA is filed under the name Arabidopsis thaliana (thale cress). Its description in RNAcentral is "ATSL226840". The record is from RNAcentral. Lineage: Eukaryota; Viridiplantae; Streptophyta; Magnoliopsida; Brassicales; Brassicaceae.
UAUCUCUCUCAUUUUAAACUCCCAGUGGUAGGUUUUGCGUG